UAACGAAUAUUGGGCAAUGGGCGAAAGCCUGACCCAGCAAUGCCGCGUGCAGGACGAAGUCCUUCGGGAUGUAAACUGCUGUCAGGGGUCCGCAAGCGAAGGGGUCCAACAGGCCCUGGAGUUGAGCAGCCCCAGAGGAAGCCUCGACUAACUCUGUGCCAGCAGUCGCGGUAAGACAGAGGAGGCAAGCGUGGUUCGGAAUCACUGGGCUUAAAGCGCGAGUAGGCGGCUUAGAAAGUGUCGUGUGAAAUCCCGCGGCUCAACCGCGGAACGGCACGGGAAACUACGUGGCUUGAGGUCGGUAGAGGUGCCUGGAACUCUAGGUGGAGCGGUGAAAUGCGUAGAUAUCUAGAGGAACGCCAGAAGCGAAAGCGGGGCACUGGGCCGAUUCUGACGCUGAGACGCGAAAGCGUGGGGAGCAAACA
Molecule: ribosomal RNA, 425 nt
Filed under: uncultured prokaryote
Description: bacterial SSU rRNA
Rfam family: Bacterial small subunit ribosomal RNA
Source: RNAcentral